Molecule: long non-coding RNA, 75 nt
Organism: Octopus sinensis (East Asian common octopus)
Lineage: Eukaryota; Metazoa; Mollusca; Cephalopoda; Octopoda; Octopodidae
Exons: 3
Source: RefSeq, a predicted model, not a curated record
AGUGAUAGAAUGAUGUAAGAGAAAAGAAAUUGAGCUAGUGAAAGUUAUAGAGUCGAGGGAAGUUGUCAUAGGCGG